RNAcentral lists this ribosomal RNA (467 nucleotides) under uncultured bacterium. RNAcentral's name for it is "partial 16S ribosomal RNA". It matches the Rfam family "Bacterial small subunit ribosomal RNA", at positions 28 to 507 of the family's 1533-position model. The record is from RNAcentral.
GACGAACGCUGGCGGCGUGCUUAACACAUGCAAGUCGAACGGAAAGGCUCCAGCUUGCUGGAGUACUCGAGUGGCGAACGGGUGAGUAACACGUGGGUAAUCUGCCCUGCACUCUGGGAUAAGCCUGGGAAACUGGGUCUAAUACUGGAUAUGACCUUUCUCCUUAUGGGGUUUGGUGGAAAGUUUUUCGGUGUAGGAUGAGCCCGCGGCCUAUCAGCUUGUUGGUGGGGUGAUGGCCUACCAAGGCGACGACGGGUAGCCGGCCUGAGAGGGUGAUCGGCCACAUUGGGACUGAGAUACGGCCCAGACUCCUACGGGAGGCAGCAGUGGGGAAUAUUGCACAAUGGGCGGAAGCCUGAUGCAGCGACGCCGCGUGAGGGAUGACGGCCUUCGGGUUGUAAACCUCUUUCAGCAGGGACGAAGCGUUAGUGACGGUACCUGCAGAAGAAGCACCGGCUAACUAUGUG